UACGGAGGGUGCAAGCGUUAUCCGGAUUCCCUGGGCUUAAAGGGCGCGUAGGUGGGUUGGUAAGUCAGUGGUGAAAUCUCUAGGCUUAACCUGGAAACUGCCAUUGAUACUAUCAGUCUUGAAUAUUGUGGAGGUCAGCGGAAUAUGUCAUGUAGCGGUGAAAUGCUUAGAUAUGACAUAGAACACCAAUUGCGAAGGCAGCUGGCUAGGCAUAUAUUGACACUGAGGCGCGAAAGCGUGGGGAGCAAACAGG
Molecule: ribosomal RNA, 253 nt
Filed under: uncultured bacterium
Lineage: Bacteria
Description: partial 16S ribosomal RNA
Rfam family: Bacterial small subunit ribosomal RNA
Source: RNAcentral